CAUUCUUAGUCGACAACUUCUCAUUCUUUUGCCUAAUUAAACUCUAAACAGCCUAAAAGAGCCAUUCAGUUUGGUACAAGAAUUGCAAGGGAAUCAAAUCGAAAGAACUUUGGAAGUAACCGUGCAGCAAACCAAGCAUCUGCAGGUGUUUGCCAAAGUGGAUGACCUGCAGCUGCUUGUUUUGUAAUGAACCUGGUCUGUCUUCAAGUUUUGAUCCAGUGUUUGAUGGCAAAGCUUUGUUUUCCACCACAAGCUUGUUUUACAUUAGUGAGAAAUUAGUGUCAGUAGACAUUGUGCUGGUAAUAAAUUUUUACACAAAAUGGGUAUUUUGCAAUUUUUGACAUUAUGUUCAUCUGUUUAUUUUUAUACUUUUAUUAAAUUCUUAAUUGGUGUUU
Molecule: long non-coding RNA, 395 nt
Organism: Cannabis sativa
Lineage: Eukaryota; Viridiplantae; Streptophyta; Magnoliopsida; Rosales; Cannabaceae
Exons: 2
Source: RefSeq, a predicted model, not a curated record